AGACAGCUGGCAAGCUCUGUCCCAAUAUGCUUCCCUGAAAGAGGCGAGGAAAUUUCAGAAGAUGCAAUGCCUGAAUGGCUCACUUUGCAGGAAAACAGAAGAACCAAGAGUGAACAGGAAACCUACAGAAUAGGAGAAAAUUUUUGCAAUCUACUCAUCUGACAAAAGGCUAAUAUCCAGAAUCUACAAAGAACUCAAACAAAUUUACAAGCACAAAACGAACAACCCCAUCAACAAGUGGGCAAAGGACAUGAACAGACACUUCUCAAAAGAAGACAUUUAUGCAGCCAACAGACACAUGAAAAAAUGCUCAUCAUCACUGCCCAGCUAAAUCUUGACUUCUAUUGAAGAAGUGAAGGAUGGAUUUUGUAAGCCUACCAGCAGCCAAAGGAGACUAAGAGGAGUCAUUCAGGAAUAUGAGGGUUAUGAAGACAGUGGUGUCCCAGAAACCAAGGAGAAGAGGAUGUUGCAUGAAGAAGGAGAUGAUGGUUUCACUUUGGUUACAUUUAUCCAAAUGCCCCGUCCAACUCUUCAGUGUCCCUAGUAAAAUCUGGUAUAGAGAUGGACACUGUUUUUUAGGUGAGGCCUGCUGAGUGUGGAGAGUUGUGAAAAAUUUUUCCCUUAAAUUGAGAAUGUUUUAAAUAAUGCAGCCUAUGUUUUCUUUAAGUAACAAGGCCAUCCCACUGACUCACACUGAUCUUGUUCUCAGCAAAAAACUCCCUGCUCUUCCUCAUAUUAAUUGCCAUAAAAACAAGUCACUUCUAUCAUGCAUUUGGCUCAUUG
This 783-nucleotide long non-coding RNA is filed under the name Homo sapiens (human). Its description in RNAcentral is "HSALNT0320514". Lineage: Eukaryota; Metazoa; Chordata; Mammalia; Primates; Hominidae. The record is from RNAcentral.